CAGCAGCCACGGGAAUACGUAGGGUGCGAGCGUUAAUCGGAAUUACUGGGCGUAAAGCGUGCGCAGGCGGUUUUGUAAGACAGGCGUGAAAUCCCCGGGCUCAACCUGGGAAUGGCGCUUGUGACUGCAAAGCUAGAGUGCGGCAGAGGGGGAUGGAAUUCCGCGUGUAGCAGUGAAAUGCGUAGAUAUGCGGAGGAACACCGAUGGCGAAGGCAAUCCCCUGGGCCUGCACUGACGCUCAUGCACGAAAGCGUGGGGAGCAAACAGGAUUAGAUACCCCAGUAGUCCCUGUCUCUUAUAC
Molecule: ribosomal RNA, 301 nt
Filed under: uncultured bacterium
Lineage: Bacteria
Description: partial 16S ribosomal RNA
Rfam family: Bacterial small subunit ribosomal RNA
Source: RNAcentral